GAUGAACGCUGGCGGCGUGCCUAAUACAUGCAAGUCGAGCGAACAGACGAGGAGCUUGCUCCUCUGACGUUAGCGGCGGACGGGUGAGUAACACGUGGAUAACCUACCUAUAAGACUGGGAUAACUUCGGGAAACCGGAGCUAAUACCGGAUAAUAUAUUGAACCGCAUGGUCCAAUAGUGAAAGACGGUUUUGCUGUCACUUAUAGAUGGAUCCGCGCCGCAUUAGCUAGUUGGUAAGGUAACGGCUUACCAAGGCGACUAUGCGUAGCCGACCUGAGAGGGUGAUCGGCCGCACUGGAACUGAGACGAGGUCACGACGCCUAAGGGAGGAAGCAGUAUGGAAUCUUCCGCAGUGGUCGGAAGCUUGACGGAGCAAGGCCGCGUAAGUGAUGACGGUCUUCGGUUCGUGAAACUCUGUUAUUAGGGAAGAACAAAUGUGUAAGUAACUAUGCACAUCUUGACGGUAACUAAUCAGAAAGCCACGGCUAACUACGUG
This 497-nucleotide ribosomal RNA is filed under the name uncultured bacterium. RNAcentral describes it as "partial 16S ribosomal RNA". It matches the Rfam family "Bacterial small subunit ribosomal RNA", at positions 28 to 507 of the family's 1533-position model. The record is from RNAcentral.